Lolium rigidum is the source of this 2041-nucleotide long non-coding RNA. RefSeq lists it as uncharacterized. The record is from RefSeq and is a predicted model, not a curated record. Lineage: Eukaryota; Viridiplantae; Streptophyta; Magnoliopsida; Poales; Poaceae. The transcript has 2 exons.
CUGGCGCCUCCCAUCUCCGACCGCCUCCUCGAAACCGAGUAUGUCUCGUCUCGCGACGGAGAAGGCGGCGGGCAGAGAUGCGACGCCUCCAACAUUCUUCCUCCACCGGCGACCGGAGCAGGGGGCUACCGAGUGCAUCGCCUCCAAGUCCCUCUCCUCUCUCGGAUUUCCCCUCUCUAGCGGCGGUUGUCCCAAGAUCUGCUCCGCCCAGAUCCCUGUCCUUCCGGCGACAAGGACGGUCGGCGGUCCCGAUAUUCAGAUCUACCCAUCCUCUUGCUCUCUUCUUUGAGGUCAGCAUCACUGAUAUUGAUUUUGGUUGCAGGCGACAGAUCCUGGAGUACACCAAGUCUUGGAGAUGAACAACGCUAGCUUGGGCAAUUUGCUCUCUUCCACUUCCCUACUGUAUUAUUUUCUUUGAUACGAAAUCUUGCAUCUGUUGUUCGGCUAGUGAGUAGAGAAGCAACAUUCUGAUUGGUAGUUUUAACGACUGUUACGAUUUUAAUGCUUGAUUUUUGGGCCAUCAAUGGAAUCGUGGAUGAUAUAUGCGAAAUAGCAGCGGCAAGGCUGAGAUCAUCAGGCCGAUGCAUUGUUUUCUAUGGUACUCACAUUUAAUUGAUGGAUUUGAUUCUAUCUGGUUUGGUGAAAUUUAGAUAAACACCGGGUUCAUAACUUCAUGUACUGGAUGUUUGUAGCCUGACUAAUUGAAUUAGUAAUUUGGUUAAUGGAUAGGCUUACGUGAGCUUAAUUAAAUCCCUGCCAUGGAAAAACAUAAGGUGCGUAGUGUAUAUUGUUCCUCCUCCUCAGCUAGUUGUCUACUUAGUUCUAUCUUCUUAUCUAGUAGUUGAUAAGCCAGUUGCUGUUCUUGGUACACACAAGGGUACCAUGAUUUCUGCUCUAACAGAUGGCUCUUUUAGUUACCUUGCAUUAGCAUUCAGCAGCAUAUUUAGAAUUAUACAGUGAUAAACACAAACUAUAAAUGUAAAGUUGUUCAAUUGUUCAUUUUAAAACAGUUGUUCCCUUGGAAGGGCUUCUUAUCUAGUAGUUGAUAAGAUUAGUUAUAAAUGGGUUCUGGUAGUUGUGAUGCUAGUAGACUAUACCGGUAGUUCUAGAGUUUAGGAUUGAAGAAUGAAGUUUUGUUGAGCUAGUUUUUAUCCGUGCAUUUAAUUAUUAGCUCCCUGCAUUAUGUGUAUUAGUGUAUAGGAUUCACAGGGCACCCAUCACUCUUUCCCAGAUAUGUCUAUGUCACGAAUAGGAAUUGUUCAGUGGUAAGUACAUAUAUUAUCAAGUGAACACUUUCCUUAAUUUUAGCAUAACAUCAAUCAAAUAAUUUGCAUAAAUCGAUCAAUUAUCUGGAUGAAUUAGCUCUUACAAAAUCUUUAUUUUUCCUGUGGGAUUUAUGCUCAUAAUUCCUGGGAUUUGAUCUAUAUGCUUGAUGGAUUCAUGGAAGUUGCUUAGAUAAUAGUAUCUAUUUUGGACAGGAAUACAACAUUUGGCAGUGAUAUCAGUACUAUAUGCCAUCUUGCAUGUUUUGGUCAUUUCUGUGAUGGCUGUAGAUGUUGGCAGCAUAUAUUUACAUCAGAGUUUAGGAUGAAGCAGGAAGAAGACAACGGUGGAGGGUAACCUAGGGGACAGAGCCUGCGGUUGGUCGUGGCGGUCGAAGCAGCGACGGCGCCACGAGGCACGGAGUUCCCACGCAUGGUCGAGGGCUCGAGGCGACCGGAGCUGGAUCUGAUUGCGACGAGGGACCGUGCUGGAUCACGCUUUGUUAGGCUAGAUCGUGUGUAGGUAUCGUGAUCGCUGCUCCGACUGCGAGUGGAGCAACAUCGGAUUGCGGGGGAGCGGCGGAUGGCGGGGAGGACGAAGACGGAGACAAGAAGAUUUGAGUUUGAAUUUCAAAAUUGCAGGCCUAGUUUGAAAGAUUUUCAAUGCGUUAAGUAGUAUUUUCAAAAACUUACUUGUAUUGUGGCUGUGUCAGCUAAUUCCAGACGAAGAGAAUACUACAAGAUAUGUGUGCAUGCAUCCAUAAUCCUUGUUUGAAUUA